RNAcentral lists this ribosomal RNA (350 nucleotides) under uncultured Pseudomonas sp. RNAcentral's name for it is "bacterial SSU rRNA". It matches the Rfam family "Bacterial small subunit ribosomal RNA", at positions 1071 to 1425 of the family's 1533-position model. The record is from RNAcentral. Lineage: Bacteria; Pseudomonadati; Pseudomonadota; Gammaproteobacteria; Pseudomonadales; Pseudomonadaceae.
AGUUUGAGGUAGUCCGUACGAGCGCACCCUUGUCCUUAGUUACCAGCACGUUAAGGUGGGCACUCUAAGGAGAUUGCCGGUGACAAACCGGAGGAAGGUGGGGAUGACGUCAAGUCAUCAUGGCCCUUACGGCCUGGGCUACACACGUGCUACAAUGGUCGGUACAAAGGGUUGCCAAGCCGCGAGGUGGAGCUAAUCCCAUAAAACCGAUCGUAGUCCGGAUCGCAGUCUGCAACUCGACUGCGUGAAGUCGGAAUCGCUAGUAAUCGUGAAUCAGAAUGUCACGGUGAAUACGUUCCCGGGCCUUGUACACACCGCCCGUGGGGCGGGGGCGGCGGGCCGGGCGCGGG